This 441-nucleotide ribosomal RNA is filed under the name uncultured bacterium. RNAcentral describes it as "partial 16S ribosomal RNA". It matches the Rfam family "Bacterial small subunit ribosomal RNA", at positions 338 to 795 of the family's 1533-position model. The record is from RNAcentral.
CCUACGGGAGGCAGCAGUGGGGAAUAUUGCACAAUGGGCGAAAGCCUGAUGCAGCAACGCCGCGUGAAGGAAGAAGGCCUUCGGGUCGUAAACUUCUGUCCUUGGGGAAGAAGAACUGACGGUACCCAAGGAGGAAGCCGCGGCCCACGCCGUGCGAGCAGCCGCGGGAAUACGGAGGGGGCAAGCGGUCUCCGGAAUUAUUGGGCGUAAAGAGUACGUAGGGGGCAACCUAAGCGCAGGGUUUCAGGCAAGGGAUCAACCAUUGUUCGCCCUUCGAACUGGGAGGCUUGCGUGCAGGAGAGGAAAGCGGAAUUCCUAGUGUAGCGGUGAAAUGCGUAGAUAUUAGGAGGAACACAAGUGGCGAGGGCGGCUUGCUGGACUGUAACUGACACUGAGCUACGAAAGCGUGGGGAGCAAACAGGAUUAGAUACCCCGGUAGUC